RNAcentral lists this small RNA (1915 nucleotides) under Pan troglodytes (chimpanzee). RNAcentral's name for it is "retained intron". Lineage: Eukaryota; Metazoa; Chordata; Mammalia; Primates; Hominidae. The record is from RNAcentral.
GCGGUUACCGUGGAAACCGCGGCCAUGGCGGCACCGCGGCAAAUCCCCAGCCACAUAGUGCGCCGCAAGCCCAGCUGCUCUACAAACUCGUCGUUCACCCGGACGCCGGUGCCCACCGUGUCUCUCGCGUCCCGCGAGCUGCCUGUCUCGUCGUGGCAGGUCGCCGAGCCGUCGAGCAAGAAUCUGUGGGAGCAGAUCUGCAAGGAGUAUGAAGCUGAGCAGCCUCCCUUUCCAGAAGGAUAUAAAGUCAAACAGGAGCCUGUGAUUACAGUUGCGCCGGUAGAGGAAAUGCUUUUUCAUGGCUUCAGUGCAGAGCACUAUUUUCCAGUUUCCCAUUUCACCAUGAUCUCACAUACACCCUGUCCUCAAGAUAAAUCGGAAACAAUCAACCCAAAAACAUAGGAAAAGAACCAAAUUCAUUGCCUGUGAUUUUCUGACCGAGUGGUUAUACAAGUAAGUUGUUCGUGUCUGACUAUUCAGUGAUCCUAAGAAUUCAGUCGUAUUAAUUUGCAAGCAGAAUAGCAACAACUGACUUGAAUUCUUGCUUAUUGUUUUCUUGUCAAUCAAACAUAUGGCAUCAUGACCAGCCAAAAUCCAAAGAGGGCAGGGGAGCCAUUCACAGAAUUUUUCUCCAUUCCAUUUGUGGAGGAGCGGCUAAAGCAACACCCACGGCCGCCAAUCCCACUCUCGCUCCUGCUGACAGAAGAGGAAGCAGCCCUCUACAUUCAAUCCUUCUGGAGAGCCUGUGUGGUUCGCCGUGAUCCUGAGAUUCAAGAACUGCGUCAGUGGCAGAAGAAACUUCGCGAGGCCAAGCACAUUCACCAGCGAGUCAAAAUUUUCUGGGCCAAGCAAGAACAAAAAGUGAAAUGCAAAAUGGAGGACGAUGCAGUACCUGCAGCCAAGAUGAAAAUUCCAUCAUCUUAACCAUAGCUAAGACGUAUCUUUGCCCAUUCGAGCACAAGUUACCUUGUGCAAGGAAAAUGUCCAAAUGAUGCUCUCUCUCUUGUGAUUUCUUUAACAAGACUUGGAACAUGUGAAAAUGGAAUCUUUUCUGUACAAGAUAGGAUUCGUUGCAAACAAGCUUUAAUGCAAAUAGUUUAGAAAAGAAAGGACCAGUCUUCACUUUCUGCAUUAUCCCCACAUUUUAUUCAUUCAUCCAGAUUACUUCUUCAGUGCCUCAGGCGUAUUCUUCUACACCAGCUGCUGUUAAAAUGUACAAUGAACUCUAGUCCCAAGGAAUACAGAAGUGCUCUUAUUACCAGUUUUCCCACUUGUGGCCGCCUUUGCAAAGAUCCAUAUUCUAAUUUAAGUCCCCAACCUCUGAAUUUGGUUUUAAGUUUACCUAGUGACUGACUACUCUCUUUAUAAAAAAGACCUUAUACUUAAUGAUCAUUUCCAAAGGAGACCACUCCUUAACUUUUACUGCAAACCCAACAAGAUGAGACACUUAAACCCAGACAGAUGUAACAAAGGAUUUUUGUUGUCUAAGUCCCAAAGUAUUAUAUAGAAAGUUCCUGCUUUUAUGGGUAAACUUAUUACCUUAAUAUGUUCUGUGGUUUGCUGUUAACCAAGAUUCUCCCAUUUAAAAUGCCACAGACCGACCCUCAAGGCAGAUCCGAAAGCCUAGUAGUUAGUUGCAUUGGGUUGUUUUGACAAGCUACCACACAUCUUAAGUAAAUAGUAAAGCCUUUAUUUUUGUGUUAAGAACAGCAUUUUGAAAAUAAAACCUAUCUGCCCAUGCUUUACAACCUUUUAAAUUUGUAAUAUUUAUAUAGUCGUUUAUGGUACAUAUUGAUUGUCUUGAAAUUUCUUUAACUUCUUUUUUAUAAGUAUGCAACAGUCAGCCGGGGGAAGAUAAAGGUACAUUAUAAAACACACAUUAAUGCAUUUAAUAAAUAUAUAUUAUCUAUCAAAA